GAUGAACGCUGGCGGCGUGCCUAAUACAUGCAAGUCGAGCGAACGGACGAGGAGCUUGCUCCUCUGACGUUAGCGGCGGACGGGUGAGUAACACGUGGAUAACCUACCUAUAAGACUGGGAUAACUUCGGGAAACCGUAGCUAAUACCGGAUAAUAUAUUGAACCGCAUGGUUCAAUAGUGAAAGACGGUUUUGCUGUCACUUAUAGAUGGAUCCGCGCCGCAUUAGCUAGUUGGUAAGGUAACGGCUUACCAAGGCAACGAUGCAUAGCCGACCUGAGAGGGUGAUCGGCCACACGGGAACUGAGACACGGUCCAGACUCCUACGGGAGGCAGCAGUAGGGAAUCUUCCGCAAUGGGCGAAAGCCUGACGGAGCAACGCCGCGUGAGUGAUGAAGGUCUUCGGAUCGUAAAACUCUGUUAUUAGGGAAGAACAAAUGUGUAAGUAACUGUGCACGUCUUGACGGUACCUAAUCAGAAAGCCACGGCUAACUACGUG
This 497-nucleotide ribosomal RNA is filed under the name uncultured bacterium. RNAcentral describes it as "partial 16S ribosomal RNA". It matches the Rfam family "Bacterial small subunit ribosomal RNA", at positions 28 to 507 of the family's 1533-position model. The record is from RNAcentral.